This 798-nucleotide unclassified non-coding RNA is filed under the name Hevea brasiliensis (rubber tree). The record is from RNAcentral. Lineage: Eukaryota; Viridiplantae; Streptophyta; Magnoliopsida; Malpighiales; Euphorbiaceae.
UGGUGCCACAAACAUCCCUAGCAAACAUAUUCUAGGUAUCUGGUGUCAUAAGUCCUUCAGUUAGAAAAUUUAAACAUCAAAAUUUAUUUGUUCAUAUACAUAAACACAAGGUGCCCAAGAGUACGAAAUUUAAUNNNNNACAAAUGCUACCUCUUGCUAAAGUAUGAAAGAAGUGUUGGCUGUUUAUCCCUAUCACGACCAACACCACUCUUAAUGUUGGCCUUCUUCCUUGCAGGACUGCGCUGCAGUUCCUCUCUUUUCACUGUGUUGGAAUCAGCUAAAGGCUCCUCAUGGUUCCGCUUUGUUUUACACUUGGUUUCAUCCUUAUCCUCACAAGGCAUUAUAGAAACAUUGGAUUUUAUAUUAUCAUCAAGCUUUUCUGUCAAGGAUGGAAUUUCCAACUUGUCUAUGCUUCCAUGUUCCUCUUUCACACUUUCUCGAAGAUCGAUAUUGACAGCUUUGUCACAUGUACCUUCUUGCAGGUUCGAUUCUUGUUCUCUUUUAAUUUCCUUUCUUGAGAAAAACUUUGAGAUAGUGCUUUGGUCCUCGGUCUUAAAAUGUAUCUCUUUAAUGCACUCUGGUCCAUCAAAAGAUGUCUUGCCCAUUGCAGGUGUCACUGGGUACCAUACCAAAUCUGAAUUCUCAUAAGGUUUAAGUACAAUAUCAAACUUAGAAGAGGAAGAACCAUUUAGCCAUGUGUCAACUGCUUCCUUGUUGCCCAAAAUGACAGGCAUCCUGUCAUGCAACCACUGUAAAGCUGAAGAUGAGGAAGUUGUCAGUAUAGUGAAGGUGUAAAGU